This is a non-coding RNA of Sciurus carolinensis (gray squirrel), 73 nucleotides long. The record is from the annotation of a RefSeq genome assembly. Lineage: Eukaryota; Metazoa; Chordata; Mammalia; Rodentia; Sciuridae.
UGGAGAUGUGGUUUAGUGGUAGAGUGCUUGCCUGAUAAGCAUGAGGUCCUGGGUUCAAUCCCCAGCUCUGCAA